UACGGGGGGAGCAAGCGUUGUUCGGAUUUACUGGGCGUAAAGGGCGCGUAGGCGGUCAGCACAAGUCAGUUGUGAAAUCUCCGGGCUUAACUCGGAACGGUCAAGUGAUACUGUCGGACUAGAGUACAGAAGGGGCAACUGGAAUUCUCGGUGUAGCGGUGAAAUGCGUAGAUAUCGAGAGGAACACCUGCGGCGAAGGCGGGUUGCUGGGCUGAUACUGACGCUGAGGCGCGAAAGCCAGGGGAGCGAACGGG
This 254-nucleotide ribosomal RNA is filed under the name uncultured bacterium. Its description in RNAcentral is "partial 16S ribosomal RNA". It matches the Rfam family "Bacterial small subunit ribosomal RNA", at positions 524 to 776 of the family's 1533-position model. The record is from RNAcentral.